UUUGCCUUAGGGUGGUACGGCCUUCGGCGCCCUCUUUCGUGCCCGUGGCCUGCAUUUAUGUUGUGGGCAGUUCCUUGUGGUCUCCGUGGUGGCGGGCAUUACUGGGAAAAUUGGGAACGAGGAGGAGGAGGAUGCUAGUCCUCGGACCGAUUCUAAGAGUCAUCUAGAGGAGUAAUGGGAAGGUGGACGAGCUUGGUCCCGUGUGGACGUGCGCACUAGUGGUGUACGGAAUUGCCAAGACAGCUGUGUCGUCUAUGCCUUCAAGCUAUUUGGCGGAAAGUUUCUGCGUUCCUUUACUUUGUGGGUCGGGGCCUGGGUGCUUGAGUGGGAGAAAGGGAAAGCCGACUAGCCCUGGAUCCCCUUUUAAGCGCGUCGUCCAUUUGGGACAAAUUGCCUAAUGGUGUGAGCUCUUUCUCUGCAAGCAAACCUCAAAGUGCAGUCUUGCAUAAGCUCGGAGUCCAGGAGAAAUGUGUUCUAGCAUGUCUUGGGCCCAUCUCUGCUUCUUCAGCGCAACUGAGGAACUCACCCUCUGAGAAGAAAUACGGUCACCAGCCACACCACCGAGACCGUUAGAUUGGUGAUGACAACUACCUUCCAUCUUAGCGCAUCCACAUUGCCUGCCAGAAAAAGAAACUCUGAGCCUAUUUACUGGGGCCUCACUAGACAACAACAAUCAUCAUCCUUAUGGUCAUUUAUCUCUGGCUUUUUCUGUCCAUGUGAGUCCACCGAACUUCCAAGGCUCCCUCCUCCAGCCCAUCCGGUACGACCGUCCCCUCCCUACUUGGAUAAUUUCCCACAACGUGCACUGCUAACCCAGGAUGGGGAAGUGGAGUAUAUGCAAUACAAGAGAGGCUAGACUUUCGGGGCACCUGGGUGGCUCAGUCUUGUUAAGCGGCUGCCUUCGGCUCAGGUCAUGAUCCCAGAGUCCUGGGAUCGAGCCCCACAUCGGGCUCCCUGCUCAGCGGGAAGCCUGCUUCUCCCUCUCUCACUCCCCCUGCUUGUGUUCCCGCCGUCGCUGUCUCUGUCUCUGUCAAAUAAAUAAAUAAAAUCUUAAAAAAAAGAGAGAGAGAGAGAGAGGCUAGACUUUCAAUGGCACUGUGGCACUUCCAAUAGGUCAAAACAUUCUAAUGAGCGAAUCCUUGGAAAUCCAGGCCUCUGGAAACCCAUGGUAUGGGAUUUCAUCAAUUUGGAGGUGCACAGGAAAGCCAGUGGGGCACAAAUAGUUUGAGGGUCAUGAAUUAUUACGUGACGGUUCAGGGUCAAGGCCCAGAGGUUUCUCUCUCUUGCUUCCUUUCACCUCAGGGAAUGGCCUCAGGCAAUGCCUCUGGAGCUAGUUCACUCAGUCUUCUCUGACCAGCAGUGCCAGCCCUUCCUUCCAGAUCUUGUUCUUGUGUUGAACCCACCAUGUGGACUUGACAUCCUCACCAGAGAAAACUUGGAAAGUUGGGGAAAGUUAGCAGAAUGAAUUAAAAGAUCAACCAUAAUUCCACAACCAAUGUAUAACCACUCUUUGUUCUUAAUUUACUCCCCACUGGUCUCUUUCCUAUGGGAGUAAGAUAAUGUAGACUGUAACCCACUACCAUGAGAUUCAGUGGUGUCCCCUGCUGCACUCCAGACAUUGCUGAGCACGUGUGAAGAUCUGCAGAAACGGCCUUCCUGCCCCCUGGCCACACACCCAUCCUUCACGGGAAAAAGACACUUACCCCAACAUUAGUCAGGCAAUAAAAAAAAAAAAUUUUAAAAAAUUAUUUAUUUUUUUAAAGUUUUCAUUUAAAUUCCGGUGAGUGGACAUGCAGUGUAAUACUAGUUUCAGGUGUCCAAUAUUGUGGUUCAGCCCUCUCAUACAACACCCAGUGCUCAUCACAACAAGUGCCCUUGUUAAUACCCAUCACUCAUAUUUUUUUUAAAGAUUUUUA
Molecule: long non-coding RNA, 1916 nt
Organism: Mirounga angustirostris (Northern elephant seal)
Lineage: Eukaryota; Metazoa; Chordata; Mammalia; Carnivora; Phocidae
Exons: 3
Source: RefSeq, a predicted model, not a curated record